Molecule: ribosomal RNA, 242 nt
Filed under: uncultured bacterium
Lineage: Bacteria
Description: partial small subunit ribosomal RNA
Rfam family: Bacterial small subunit ribosomal RNA
Source: RNAcentral
AGAAUCAACGCUGGCGGCGUGCCUAACACAUGCAAGUCGCACGAGAAAGGGACUUCGGUCCUGAGUACAGUGGCGCACGGGUGAGUAACACGUGAAUAAUCUACCUCCGAGUGGGGAAUAACUGAGAGAAAUCUUAGCUAAUACCGCAUAACACUUACGAGUCAAAGCAGCAAUGCGCUUGGAGAGGAGUUCGCGGCAGAUUAGUUAGUGGCGGGUAAUGGCCCACAAGACGAUGAUCUGUA